This 233-nucleotide unclassified non-coding RNA is filed under the name uncultured Lactarius. Its description in RNAcentral is "sequence contains ITS2". Lineage: Eukaryota; Fungi; Basidiomycota; Agaricomycetes; Russulales; Russulaceae. The record is from RNAcentral.
AAUUCUCAACCUCCUCGGUUUCUUUUGGACGCCAAAGAAGGCUUGGACUUUGGAGGGCUUUGCUGGACUUGAAAGGCCAGCUCCUCUCAAAUGAAUUAGCGAGGUUCCCUUUGCCGAUCCUCGACGUGUGAUAAGAUGCUUCCACGUCUCGGUCAUUGGCUCUGUUGCCUUUCGGGACCUGCUUCCAAUCAUCUCUUGACGAGACAAUGUUUGAGCUCGUCUCGACCACGUAC